Molecule: ribosomal RNA, 365 nt
Filed under: uncultured Bacteroidales bacterium
Lineage: Bacteria; Pseudomonadati; Bacteroidota; Bacteroidia; Bacteroidales
Description: bacterial SSU rRNA
Rfam family: Bacterial small subunit ribosomal RNA
Source: RNAcentral
AAGGUCCGGGCGUUAUCCGGAUUUAUUGGGUUUAAAGGGAGCGUAGGCCGGUCUUUAAGCGUGCCGUGAAAUUUUGUGGCUCAACCAUGAGAGUGCGGCGCGAACUGGAGACCUUGAGUGCGCGGAAGGCAGGCGGAAUUCGUGGUGUAGCGGUGAAAUGCUUAGAUAUCACGAAGAACCCCGAUUGCGAAGGCAGCCUGCCGCAGCGUUACUGACGCUGAAGCUCGAAAGCGCGGGUAUCGAACAGGAUUAGAUACCCUGGUAGUCCGCGCGGUAAACGAUGGAUGCCCGCUGUCGGCGAUAUACAGUCGGCGGCCAAGCGAAAGCGUUAGGCAUCCCACCUGGGGAGUACGCCGGCAACGGUG